UACAGAGGGUGCAAGCGUUGUUCGGAAUUAUUGGGCGUAAAGCGCGUGUAGGCGGCUUUGCAAGUCGGGUGUGAAAGCCCUCAGCUUAACUGAGGAAGUGCGCCCGAAACUGCAGAGCUUGAGUUCCGGAGAGGAUGGCGGAAUUCCCCAAGUAGAGGUGAAAUUCGUAGAUAUGGGGAGGAACACCGGUGGCGAAGGCGGCCAUCUGGACGGAUACUGACGCUGAGACGCGAAAGCGUGGGUAGCAAACAGG
RNAcentral lists this ribosomal RNA (253 nucleotides) under uncultured bacterium. RNAcentral describes it as "partial 16S ribosomal RNA". It matches the Rfam family "Bacterial small subunit ribosomal RNA", at positions 524 to 776 of the family's 1533-position model. The record is from RNAcentral.